AGAUUCGAAGAGUUGGCAGAAAAACAGGAAAAGGGUUUCAGGCUCCCAGGGUCCUGAGGUGGAGAAAGACCUAACCCCGUUGUGCCCCAAUCUUUCAGAGCUGAAAACACUGGUAGCUGCAGAAACCCUCACAGCACCUGGGAAUCCAUCCAGCAACAAGAGACUGGAGGAGCUAAAGCCAAGGAUCGUGCUCUGUAGUCCCCUCAUCCGGACACUGGGUGGCACUGUCCACCCACCAAGGAGAUUCUGAAGACAGCUUCUGAGGGAUUGUUCUGCCACAUUAUCUUGCUUUCAUGGACAAAUGACUCAUCACCAGGAGAGGGAUGACAAGGACUUGGCCAGCUCCUGCCAACGCCUUGCUUUCCAGGACACUCCACCCUUCUGCCCUUCCUGUUGCCAUCUGUCCUUCCCAUUACACCCCUGGGACCUUCCUUAGGGUAUCGAGGGCAGCAGGGCCCUGGCUCUCCGUGUCUAGAGCAGCCCACGUUGAGAAACAAUGUGAUCCCCCGGGAACUUCUGGGCUUCCAGCCAUCAGUCCCCAUCUGUGAAGGUGAAGCCCUAAAGGAAAACUAGGCAAGCGAGGAAGGGGUGGAGAAAGGCCCUGCUCUUUAUAAGCCCAUCUCUGAGUCUCUAUCUGGUUUGUGUAUUUCAGGCCAUUUAUCCUCGGAGAAGUUUCCAAAGGCAGGGGCUAUAAGUCUCAGGGGUGGGCAUGUUCUCCUUUAUUGGUCUGGGGGGGAACACGACCUAAUGUCUCUCCUGGAGGUUAAUUGAAUGACUUCAAGUCCAUUUCCCAUAACGGGAAGGCUGAGCUGGUGUAUGGUUUUGGUACCUGACCUUGUGUGAGAGGAUGAGGAUGAGGGGUUUGUCCAACCCUGGAAGCACCGAGUCAAGGGGCCAUGCCAGGCUCCUUGAAUUUGGUGUAGACCCUGCCCAGCAUGAGAGGUGGUGUGGAAAUGGGCUCUACGCAUUAGGGGAUGGCUAGCCAGCCCAGUAAUUAGUUGAAUUGAUCAAAGCAAAUUAGUAAAAGCCAUUUCGUAUCCACUCA
Molecule: non-coding RNA, 1045 nt
Organism: Ictidomys tridecemlineatus (thirteen-lined ground squirrel)
Lineage: Eukaryota; Metazoa; Chordata; Mammalia; Rodentia; Sciuridae
Source: RefSeq, a predicted model, not a curated record